ACAUUAAUGGGGUAGUGGUAAACUGGGUCGUUGCCAUAUUGGCGCCAUGUUCGACCUGCCAGGGGUUCGAUUCCCUCUUAAUUCA
This is a non-coding RNA of Crepidotus variabilis, 85 nucleotides long. NCBI's taxonomy places the organism in Eukaryota, Fungi, Basidiomycota, Agaricomycetes, Agaricales, Crepidotaceae. The record is from the annotation of a GenBank genome assembly.